RNAcentral lists this transfer RNA (73 nucleotides) under Paramuricea clavata. It matches the Rfam family "tRNA". From Rfam's summary of the family: Transfer RNA (tRNA) molecules are approximately 80 nucleotides in length. Their secondary structure includes four short double-helical elements and three loops (D, anti-codon, and T loops). Further hydrogen bonds mediate the characteristic L-shaped molecular structure. tRNAs have two regions of fundamental functional importance: the anti-codon, which is responsible for specific mRNA codon recognition, and the 3' end, to which the tRNAs corresponding amino acid is attached (by aminoacyl-tRNA synthetases). tRNAs cope with the degeneracy of the genetic code in two manners: having more than one tRNA (with a specific anti-codon) for a particular amino acid; and 'wobble' base-pairing, i.e. permitting non-standard base-pairing at the 3rd anti-codon position. The record is from Rfam by way of RNAcentral. Lineage: Eukaryota; Metazoa; Cnidaria; Anthozoa; Malacalcyonacea; Plexauridae.
GACCGCGUAGCUCAGUUGGAAGAGCAUUGGGCUAGCAUUCCAAAGGUCGUAGGUUCGAAUCCCACCGUGGCCG